RNAcentral lists this ribosomal RNA (466 nucleotides) under uncultured bacterium. RNAcentral's name for it is "partial 16S ribosomal RNA". It matches the Rfam family "Bacterial small subunit ribosomal RNA", at positions 28 to 506 of the family's 1533-position model. The record is from RNAcentral.
GACGAACGCUGGCGGCGUGCUUAACACAUGCAAGUCGAACGGAAAGGCCUCUUUCGGGGGGUACUCGAGUGGCGAACGGGUGAGUAACACGUGAGUAACCUGCCCUUGACUUUGGGAUAACUUCAGGAAACUGGGGCUAAUACCGGAUAGGAGCUCCUGCUGCAUGGUGGGGGUUGGAAAGUUUCGGCGGUUGGGGAUGGACUCGCGGCUUAUCAGCUUGUUGGUGGGGUAGUGGCUUACCAAGGCUUUGACGGGUAGCCGGCCUGAGAGGGUGACCGGCCACAUGGGGACUGAGAUACGGCCCAGACUCCUACGUGAGGCAGCAGUGGGGAAUAUUGCACAAUGGGUGGAAGCCUGAUGCAGCAACGCCGUGUGCGGGAUGACGGCCUUCGGGUUGUAAACCGCUUUCGCUCAUGACGAAGCUUUGUGUGACGGUAGUGGGUAAAGAAGCACCGGCUAACUACGU